GCUUCAAUAGUUUAAUUAUAAAACACUGGUCUUGUAAACCAGAAAUGACGAUAUAAAUUUCUUGAAGUA
This 69-nucleotide transfer RNA is filed under the name Typhlatya monae. RNAcentral's name for it is "tRNA-Thr". It matches the Rfam family "tRNA". Rfam says of the family: Transfer RNA (tRNA) molecules are approximately 80 nucleotides in length. Lineage: Eukaryota; Metazoa; Arthropoda; Malacostraca; Decapoda; Atyidae. The record is from RNAcentral.